UUCUUUUGAGCUAUAAAUUAUCAUAUUGUGAAGUUACAUCAACGAAGGUAUAUGUUUGUUUAUUUCAUAGUUACUGUUUUUCCAUGAUUUUUCAUCAUUUUACUAUAUCAAUUUUGAAAUUCUUUUUAUAAUGUUUUUUAAGCAUAAGAUCAUGUUAUAAAUAUCAGAGUGUGUAAAAGUCAACAACUGUCUUGAUCAACCAAUCAUUUAUUUAUCUCAAAAAAACAACUGUCUUGAUCACUUUUAUAUUGAUGUUUAUGCAAUGAAACAUUUACAGUUUGCCAAUUUUAAAUUUUUUUAUUGAAUUUUAUUCUGAUUGUCAAUAAAUUUUUUAAUAAAAACAAUCAUCAUGUUUAAUUAAAUUUGAAUAACAAAAUUUAAUUUUCAUGUGACAGAUGUUUGGUGGCCAAUCCAGAAGUUCGACAUGGAAUGUUAAGAUGCAUCGCAAACAAAGAGCAAGAGUGAAACCCCUUGACGAUGAUUGUGUGUUGUCCGUUUUGAUCAAUUCAAAAUUGAACAACAAAACAAAUGCAAUCUCAAAGAUGCAACAACAAAACUCAAGAAGCUACAAAGAUGCA
Molecule: long non-coding RNA, 578 nt
Filed under: Trifolium pratense (red clover)
Lineage: Eukaryota; Viridiplantae; Streptophyta; Magnoliopsida; Fabales; Fabaceae
Description: long non-coding RNA (TPRA_LNC013860)
Source: RNAcentral